UACGUAGGUGGCAAGCGUUGUCCGGAUUUACUGGGCGUAAAGAGCGCGCAGGCGGUCGUUCAAGUCGCGUGUGAAAGCCCCCGGCUCAACUGGGGAGGGUCACGCGAUACUGAUCGACUCGAAGGCAGGAGAGGGAAGUGGAAUUCCCGGUGUAGUGGUGAAAUGCGUAGAUAUCGGGAGGAACACCAGUGGCGAAGGCGACUACCUGGCCUGUUAUUGACGCUGAGGCGCGAAAGCUAGGGGAGCAAACGGG
Molecule: ribosomal RNA, 253 nt
Filed under: uncultured bacterium
Lineage: Bacteria
Description: partial 16S ribosomal RNA
Rfam family: Bacterial small subunit ribosomal RNA
Source: RNAcentral